Molecule: long non-coding RNA, 506 nt
Filed under: Malus domestica (apple)
Lineage: Eukaryota; Viridiplantae; Streptophyta; Magnoliopsida; Rosales; Rosaceae
Description: long non-coding RNA (MDOM_LNC013184)
Source: RNAcentral
CGUUCAUCACUGUUCAUCAAGAUCAAGCCCAAAAGCCCCUUGAAGAUCCGUUCAUCAACAGUUCUUCAAGAACAAGCCCAAAACCCCUUGAAGAUCCGCUCAACCGUUCUUCAAAAUCAAGGUCAAAAGCCCUUGAAGAAACGCUCAUCCUCAAGAUCAAGCCCUAACGGCUCCUUGAAGAUCCGCUCAAAUCCACCUUCAAGAUCAAGCCCACGGCCCUUGAAGAACGUUCAUCCUUAGAUCAAGCCUAACGACCCUUUGGAUCGAAUCAGAGGAUCAAAUUUGAGAGAGAUUGUAACCCAAAAUCAUCAAAUACAAAUAUUAUUUUGUACACGUGUUCUUGUCUCUUUCGUUUCAGGAAUAUUUCGUGUUUACAAAUUUGGCAUGCCCAGUGGGAUUAUGUUUACCUCUCAUCUUUUUCUCCGUUCAAGAAAUUUAAGCACACUUCCAAAAUUAAUGGCAUCAAGGAAGGCUCAAACUGUUCCUGCAACCGGCGCAAAGAACAA